This 450-nucleotide ribosomal RNA is filed under the name Rathayibacter festucae. Its description in RNAcentral is "bacterial SSU rRNA". It matches the Rfam family "Bacterial small subunit ribosomal RNA", at positions 1033 to 1481 of the family's 1533-position model. The record is from RNAcentral. Lineage: Bacteria; Bacillati; Actinomycetota; Actinomycetes; Micrococcales; Microbacteriaceae.
UACAGGUGGUGCAUGGUUGUCGUCAGCUCGUGUCGUGAGAUGUUGGGUUAAGUCCCGCAACGAGCGCAACCCUCGUUCUAUGUUGCCAGCACGUCAUGGUGGGAACUCAUAGGAGACUGCCGGGGUCAACUCGGAGGAAGGUGGGGAUGACGUCAAAUCAUCAUGCCCCUUAUGUCUUGGGCUUCACGCAUGCUACAAUGGCCGGUACAAAGGGCUGCGAUACCGUAAGGUGGAGCGAAUCCCAAAAAGCCGGUCUCAGUUCGGAUUGAGGUCUGCAACUCGACCUCAUGAAGUCGGAGUCGCUAGUAAUCGCAGAUCAGCAACGCUGCGGUGAAUACGUUCCCGGGCCUUGUACACACCGCCCGUCAAGUCAUGAAAGUCGGUAACACCCGAAGCCAGUGGCCUAACCGCAAGGAGGGAGCUGUCGAAGGUGGGAUCGGUGAUUAGGAC